GAAAGCCCCACUUCCAGUCUGAUGAGGAAAGCGACAAUCUAUCAGGUACAGAACCAGGGGCUGUCUGCGAAGAUGGAGGGGAAUUAUGCUUCGGAUUCCUCUGAAAUAUUGGCCAAAGGCUUCAAAGAAUCCGCAGCGGGAGGUGCGGGGGGAAUGUCUCUCCCCAGCCCGCACCCAGCCCUUCCCACUUCGUGUCUACCAAAUGACAGCCUGGUGCUCGCUCUUGGUGAUUUGGCCUUGACUUCAGCCAAGCAGCUGAUGCAGACGAAGCCUCCGUUUGCAGGACUGGCAAAGUGCACGCUAAAGAAAGAAGGAAGAAAUUUUUCAAAAAGCAGCUCUGGGGAGGUUUCAUACUCCCCCCCCCCCCCCGCCUUUUUUUAAUUUUUAAGUGAAUAUUUUCCAAAUUUGAUCAGUUCCAGCCCCUCCCUCCACUCCCACCCAACUGCCCUUUUUUCUCUCGUCAAAGCAUAAGCUACAGAGUUACAGUCUCGAGAUUUGGUGUAUCGCUUCCUGCCCCCGCCUCCCCUCCCCGCCCCCGUUCUCCGUCCUCUAUUGAAACACCUCGCCCAGCCUAGCGCACUGAGAGCUCUCAUUUUCCCCCCUUGCUCGGGAUGGUGCCACAGGAGGCUGUGCGGGCCCCGCUCCGCUUCGAAUGGUUGUGUUGAUGUUCCUUUCAGCUGGUCCUAUAGUACCCCUCCUCAGGAAUGUCUCCCCAGUGCAAGGACAAAGACUGAAGAGACUGCUAUAUUGAUGGACUCUCAAGCCAACUAUGAAGUUGAAACAAAGAAAGUGAUCACCUGAAGACACCUCCUCUGCUAAGAAACACCCCCAAAUUGUGCAGCUUCUGCCACUAGAACUCUCAGAACAAGAGACAAUCUUUUCAAGAAACAGAAAAACUCAAUAAUGACAUCUAGAUUUUCAUGAGCCAAGAACUUUCCCUUCCUCAUGUGUAUUCCUCUGUUUGUACUUAAAUUCAUGUGACAUUCAUUUUUUUCCUAGUAUGGAUAUGCUUAUUAAUGCACUUGUUUCAAAAUCCCAAAUUGCACAAAUGUGUUAAUAUUUUAAGAAACAAAAUGAAUCCUACAAGGAGAAUGAUUUUUAGCCACACAUAGGGUUGGAUCUUGAGAGUGACCUACAGAAUAAAAGUACUUUUAAAAUAAAGUAGUCAGAGGCUAUUCAAAGGGUAAAAUAAUCAUAGUACCACAUUGGUCCACUUGACACUAACCAAUCGAUCAUUUUUUUUUAAUCAAGAAAGCUAGAUUCUAUCAGAUAAAAUCACUGCUUCUAAAGAGUUUAAAUCUAGUUAGAAAAAGUUAUAGAAAUGUUUGCAAAGAUAAGUAACAGAUAGAGUCAGUAGAGGAUAAGAUCAAAAACAAAACCAAGCAAAAGAUGAGUUCAGGGGAGUUUGCCAUCAAGUUGGCAAAACUGACUUACUUAGGGAAGAAAGUUAUAAAACAGGAAAAUAUGAGAUGAACCUUGAGUGAUGUGGAAGAUUUAGAUAAAUGGAAAGGAAGGAGAAAAUGGAGUUCUUUAGGUGGUUGUAAUUGGAGGAGGAAAUGAAUACACACAUCUUGUUGACUUAAACCCAGACAUUCAGCAGCUCUCUAUACAUAUCUGGAAAAGACUGCACAGUCACCUCCUGUCUCUCACCCCAGGUAUUACUUAGAAUUAUUAUCAUAUUUCCCUUCCUUUAAAGUAAGUAAGGGUGAUUGGUGACAAUAUGGAGAACUAUGAUUUUUCCAUUAACCUAAUAAUAAUUGGUAUUUAUUGAGUUCUGUUAAGCAUUUUACAUAUUAACUCACUUAAGCCUUUCAACAGCCUUGCAAAAUAGGUAUUAUUAUCCCCAUUUUACAGGCAAGAAAACUGAGGUUUAAGUAACUUGCCGAAGUGCCAUAUACAGGGCUCACAUUCAGUAUUGCAGUUGCAAAGCUCAUGAUCUAUAGUGCCAAGUUGCAAUAUUGUAGUCAAUGUCACAAUUAUUACCCCUUUUUAUAUUCCUUGAUAUUUUUCCAUGGCAAACAAUUAGCUAUUUCAUUUAAUAAUCACCUAAAACUUUUCAGUCUUCUGAUUAAAAUUACGCUGGAGUGAUAGAAUGUAUUUUCAUGAUAGAAAUUGGGAAAAAAAAUGGGGAAUGAAGUUUAUCAGCAUUUCAGACUUGUUUUUUUUUUUUUUUUUUGCAAGACUUUGAUGAGAUUGUUCACUUUUGUCUAUGUAAAAUCCCAAAUCCUUGAGAAUAAAAAAGGGGGAGGUUUAAGUCACUUGUUGCAAUGCCCUUUUUAAUAGAGGCAAUAAAUCUAAAGGCCAUAAAUUUAGAGUGACUUACAGAAGAUCGAACUUUGGAGUGUGGCAGAGUAAGGGAUGGAAACCGGGCCCUCCAGUUCACUAUCAGUAGCUUUUGCACUGGUCUGCCCUUCCUAAAUUAAGUAUGCACUUCAAUUUGAUGAGUGGAAACAGUCUAUCUGGGCAGUAACCAGGGAGCUUUGUGCCUAGUAGAUUGCUUCUGUUCUGCACUUCUUUGGUUUCCCACCUCAAUGUAAAAAAUAGCUAGCAAUGAAGUCCAGAAGUUGUCAAUGGUUCAUCCCCAGAAGAAUGCAUAAUGUCCAAAGUUGUAUGUGUAUGAUGUCUUCAAUGGUAUUAAGUUAUUUCAAAUUCUUAGUUCACCUACAUAAAUCAUUUCUAACAAGCAUCUUCUUAACCAACUUUAUGCACAGUGUAUGUUUGUAAGUGCUUCUGCACGAAUGUUUAUACAUGACUGUUUCCAUAGUACUUAUGUUUUUAAAAAUAUUCAGUCAUUUCCUACUAUAAUCCUCAUGUAUCCAUGUAACUGACUCAAAAAUACUUCAGCCACAGAAAGCUAAAACUGAGCAAAUCUCAUUCUUCUUUUCCAUCCCCUUUGCAUGUGGCUGGCAUUUAGUAAUGAUUAAUAAUAUGGCCAGCUGAAUAACAGAGGUUUGAGACACAAUUCUUUCUCAAAGGAGUCAGCUAAGCUGGGUCUACUUAUGGACAAACAUCUAAAUGUGUGGAAGUAUCUGAUAUUUGACAAUGGUAAAUUUCCACUUAGCUAGCUAGCAUUGUCAGACUUCAAUCUCCUCAUGGCUCUGGCCGUCCUGUUUUAAGCAUGAUAAUUGUUGGCCACAUCUCACAUAGUUCUCAUUGAGUGAGUUCAUAAAUAAACAGGGUUUUUUUUUUUUUUUAAAGAGCAGCCAAGCACAAAGUGUGACUUUGUUGACAUUUUAUGUGACUUUGUCAUAUGUUCCUAACCCCCAAUAAAAGCAAUGUUGCAUCAA
Molecule: long non-coding RNA, 3287 nt
Filed under: Homo sapiens (human)
Lineage: Eukaryota; Metazoa; Chordata; Mammalia; Primates; Hominidae
Description: non-protein coding MIR100HG:25
Source: RNAcentral